This 348-nucleotide unclassified non-coding RNA is filed under the name soil metagenome. Its description in RNAcentral is "partial contains 5.8S ribosomal RNA, internal transcribed spacer 2, and large subunit ribosomal RNA". The stretch from base 1 to 120 matches the Rfam family "5.8S ribosomal RNA", at positions 35 to 154 of the family's 154-position model. The record is from RNAcentral.
GAUGAAGAACGUAGCGAAAUGCGAUAAGUAGUGUGAAUUGCAGAAUUCAGUGAAUCAUCGAAUCUUUGAACGCACAUUGCGCCCGCUGGUAUUCCCGCGGGCAUGCCUGUUCGAGCGUCAUUUCAACCCUCAAGCCCCCGGGUUUGGUGUUGGGGAUCGGCUCUGCCCUUCUGGGCGGUGCCGCCCCCGAAAUACAUUGGCGGUCUCGCUGCAGCCUCCAUUGCGUAGUAGCUAACACCUCGCAACUGGAACGCGGCGCGGCCAUGCCGUAAAACCCCAACUUCUGAAUGUUGACCUCGGAUCAGGUAGGAAUACCCGCUGAACUUAAGCAUAUCAAUAAGCGGAGGA